RNAcentral lists this ribosomal RNA (253 nucleotides) under uncultured bacterium. RNAcentral's name for it is "partial 16S ribosomal RNA". It matches the Rfam family "Bacterial small subunit ribosomal RNA", at positions 524 to 776 of the family's 1533-position model. The record is from RNAcentral.
GACGUAGGGGGCCAGCGUUGCUCGGAAUCACUGGGCGUAAAGGGUGCGUAGGCGGCCCUGUAAGUAUGGUGUGAAAUCUCCCGGCUUAACUGGGAGGGUGCGCUAUAGACUGCGGGGCUCGAGUGUGGGAGAGGAAAGUGGAAUUCCUGGUGUAGCGGUGAAAUGCGUAGAUAUCAGGAGGAACACCGGUGGUGUAAACGGCUUUCUGGACCAUAACUGACGCUGAGGCACGAAAGCGUGGGUAGCAAACAGG